GACGAACGCUGGCGGCGUGCCUAAUACAUGCAAGUAGAACGCUGAAGGAGGAGCUUGCUUCUCUGGAUGAGUUGCGAACGGGUGAGUAACGCGUAGGUAACCUGCCUGGUAGCGGGGGAUAACUAUUGGAAACGAUAGCUAAUACCGCAUAAGAGUAGAUGUCGCAUGACAUUUGCUUAAAAGGUGCAAUUGCAUCACUACCAGAUGGACCUGCGUUGUAUUAGCUAGUUGGUGAGGUAACGGCUCACCAAGGCAACGAUACAUAGCCGACCUGAGAGGGUGAUCGGCCACACUGGGACUGAGACACGGCCCAGACUCCUACGGGAGGCAGCAGUAGGGAAUCUUCGGCAAUGGACGGAAGUCUGACCGAGCAACGCCGCGUGAGUGAAGAAGGUUUUCGGAUCGUAAAGCUCUGUCGUAAGAGAAGAACGAGUGUGAGAGUGGAAAGUUCACACUGUGACGGUAUCUUACCAGAAAGGGACGGCUAACUACGUG
Molecule: ribosomal RNA, 495 nt
Filed under: uncultured bacterium
Lineage: Bacteria
Description: partial 16S ribosomal RNA
Rfam family: Bacterial small subunit ribosomal RNA
Source: RNAcentral